Molecule: ribosomal RNA, 459 nt
Filed under: uncultured bacterium
Lineage: Bacteria
Description: partial 16S ribosomal RNA
Rfam family: Bacterial small subunit ribosomal RNA
Source: RNAcentral
CCUACGGGUGGCAGCAGUGAGGAAUAUUGGUCAAUGGGCUUACGCCUGAACCAGCCAAGUCGCGUGAGGGAAGACUGCCCUAUGGGUUGUAAACCUCUUUUGUCGGGGAGCAAAAGACGCCACGCGUGGCGUUCCGAGAGUACCCGAAGAAAAAGCAUCGGCUAACUCCGUGCCAGCAGCCGCGGUAAUACGGAGGAUGCGAGCGUUAUCCGGAUUUAUUGGGUUUAAAGGGUGCGCAGGCGGAAGAUCAAGUCAGCGGUAAAAUUGAGGGGCUCAACCUCUUCGAGCCGUUGAAACUGGUGUUCUUGAGUGAGUGAGAAGUAUGCGGAAUGCGUGGUGUAGCGGUGAAAUGCAUAGAUAUCACGCAGAACUCCGAUUGCGAAGGCAGCAUACCGGCGCUCAACUGACGCUCAUGCACGAAAGUGUGGGUAUCGAACAGGAUUAGAUACCCGGGUAGUC